AAGAAAGAAAGAAAGAAAGAAAGAGAAAGAAAGAAAGAAAAGAAAGAGAAAAGAGCUAUGCAGGACCAUACUCCGUAGACAAGCACAGACGAGAUCCAGGAUUCAACCCAAGGACUUUUACUUAAAAUGGUUUUGUCACCAAACAAGACAUAUGAAGUAACAGCACAGGAGCAGUUCACUCAACUAUGUUCCCACCUAGAAAUUAAGAACUUCACCACUAUGGACAUGCUUCAAGGGCUCCUCCCUGGUCCAACCCAACCAGUAACCACAGAGCUUAGAUGCCUAAAGAUAGGGAGCACAGUCGUUCACCUCUUCACAAGGAACAGAAAAGAAAAUGGACAAUGCUGUGCUUCUGAGAACCAGCUGUUCACGUGUUUUCCCAGUGGCAUGUUCAGAAACUUCAUGUUGGCGGUUUGAACAUGGCCAUGGAGAGAAUAUUUACACCAUAGAACUGGAAAAUGCCUUCAAAUGAGGUUUUCCACAGACACUAUUGCCCCUUGACCUAUAAAUAAAGACAGAUUCCAGCAUAUCUUAAAGAAAGAAGUAUACUCUGACCCUGGAAGAGAAGACCAAACUAAUGUCUUACAUAAAAUUGGGCUAAUAUGUAAAAUUGCAUAAGCCAUAAGUGAGGGUGAAUUCUAAGCCGGCAAAAAGACAGGGGACUUAGGUCAGGCUAAAUGCUCCUAUGUGGUUGCACUUAACACAGGAUUCUCGUGUAUUGGAUGUGCCUGGUUGAACAGUUAAAAGUAUUUGGAAGACAGUGCAUGGUUGGUUGAUUGGAAAUUGCACUCAGUGGAGCUCUAAACUAAAUUCAGUGUACAAUCGGCAAAAUUUAGAAUGUAAGAAACUGUAUAGGUAAAAUGGCCUGGAUUCUUUAGCACAUAACUAGAGGAAAAAGAAAGAAAUUGAAGGGGAAUAUAUGGAUUUGAAAAAAUUAAAAGACAAUAAAAUAAAAAAAUGGACAAGAUGCACACUUGAGGAUGCUAAAACUCUGAAGAAACACAAGAAGUGAUUGCUAUAAAAAUCAGGGUAGUAGUUGGCUUUCAUGAGGAGAAAGAAGAUUGUGAUUGGAGGGAAGUACAUGAAGAGCCAACUUGCCUCCUUUUCUUGUGAGUCAGUGAUUCUUGACUGACUUAUAAACUUAGGCAAUUUCCAGAGAGAGCUUUCCAUUAACCUAAUACCUUAUGAAGCAUGAAGCAAUUUUAAGUCUGGCCAUAAGAGGUCAGUAUAACCUUGCUUAUUUAAACUAUAUGUAAGAUGGUGGUGGCAAUGAGAGAAAUCUGCCCUCGAGGCAGAGCACUUUUUAGUUUUUUGGGUGGAAUUAUUUCUUUUAUAUCUUUGAAGAUUGAGAAAGCCAACUUUCCUUUUCCAAGAAGAAUUUUGCCUAGAUCAGCCUAAACAGGCUCUGUUCAAUCUGCGGCUAUUCAUUUUUAAAUGACUGUGUGUAAAUCAGAGAAAUCUAAAAUUGAGUGUCAGUUUGAUCUACACACUAGGAAAGAUUAGUUAACAUUUGAAGGGUCACUAUCAGAAAUAUACACUCCAUAAGUGGUUAAUCACUAUUUGAAAGACUCUUCAGCAAUACACAUUAGAGAAAUGGCUGAUGGCAAUAUUUCAAGUAUUGUUAUUUAAACUGCAAUUGAGUUUGUUAAUUAGCAUAAAUGAUAUUUAAAACAAUAUUUCCUUGGAGAAUUGAUUGUAUCAUAAGUGAACAACACCCAAGAGAUCUUGCUGCUCGGUUAUAGACACCACUAGUUAUUUUCACUCCCUAGAGAAGCUUUACAAAGAAAUUUAUUUUCCACCCAAACAGCAGAAUU
Molecule: long non-coding RNA, 1814 nt
Organism: Heterocephalus glaber (naked mole-rat)
Lineage: Eukaryota; Metazoa; Chordata; Mammalia; Rodentia; Bathyergidae
Source: RefSeq, a predicted model, not a curated record